AUGAACGCUGGCGGCGUGCCUAAUACAUGCAAGUCGAGCGAACGGACGAGAAGCUUGCUUCUCUGAUGUUAGCGGCGGGCGGGUGAGUAACACGUGGAUAACCUACCUAUAAGACUGGGAUAACUUCGGGAAACCGGAGCUAAUACCGGAUAAUAUUUUGAACCGCAUGGUUCAAAAGUGAAAGACGGUCUUGCUGUCACUUAUAGAUGGAUCCGCGCUGCAUUAGCUAGUUGGUAAGGUAACGGCUUACCAAGGCAACGAUGCAUAGCCGACCUGAGAGGGUGAUCGGCCACACUGGAACUGAGACACGGUCCAGACUCCUACGGGAGGCAGCAGUAGGGAAUCUUCCGCAAUGGGCGAAAGCCUGGCGGAGCAACGCCGCGUGAGUGAUGAAGGUCUUCGGAUCGUAAAACUCUGUUAUUAGGGAAGAACAUAUGUGUAAGUAACUGUGCACAUCUUGACGGUACCUAAUCAGAAAGCCACGGCUAACUACGUG
This 496-nucleotide ribosomal RNA is filed under the name uncultured bacterium. RNAcentral's name for it is "partial 16S ribosomal RNA". It matches the Rfam family "Bacterial small subunit ribosomal RNA", at positions 29 to 507 of the family's 1533-position model. The record is from RNAcentral.